Populus trichocarpa (black cottonwood) is the source of this 2098-nucleotide RNA transcript. It is a transcript of the gene named fasciclin-like arabinogalactan protein 17, with no coding region annotated. Lineage: Eukaryota; Viridiplantae; Streptophyta; Magnoliopsida; Malpighiales; Salicaceae. The transcript has 3 exons. The record is from RefSeq and is a predicted model, not a curated record.
AAACACAACACCAGAGACAGGGAGCCCAAGAAAAACAAAGUACUGAGAAGAGAAAGAAAGAAAAGACUGGCCUUUGAAGCAAGCAAAACCAACCCAACCCCUCACCUCUUCUAUUUUUAUAUAUCUAUCAUCACCUCUUCAACAAGCCAAUUUAACCCUCCAUCAAUCUUUUCCUUCUUCAAUGGCCAUGGCGCCUUCACCUCCUUGCAUCCACAUUUUCUUCGCUUCUAUUCUUCUUCUCUCAAAUUUUCAUCUGGGGUUCUCUUCUUCCUCCUCUACAUUGCAAGAGAACCAUAGCAAUGGGUCUUAUUCAGGCCAAAUCAACUCAAACUCAGUUCUUGUAGCUCUUCUUGACUCACAUUAUACAGAACUGGCUGAACUUGUUGAAAAGGCACUUCUUUUACAAACCCUUGAAGAUGCUGUUGGUAAACACAACAUCACCAUCUUUGCUCCUAGAAAUGAAGCUCUCGAACGUGAUCUUGAUCCCGAGUUCAAGCGGUUCUUGCUUGAACCUGGCAAUCUCAAGUCUCUCCAGACUCUCCUACUUUAUCACAUUGUCCCCAACAGAAUCAAUCUCAGCCAUAACUCCUCUCUUCACCAUCACAGCACCUUGUGCCGCGAUAGAAUCAAGCUCGGCAGUCAAUCCGGCGAGAAGUUAAUAGACUCGGCGAAAAUCAUUCAAGUGAAUGCAGUGGAGAGGCCAGAUGGCGUAAUUCAUGGGAUUGAAAGGUUGCUAAUCCCACGAUCUGUUCAACAAGAUUUCAACAAUCGCAGGAGUUUGCAAUCAAUUUCAGCUGUGAAACCAGAAGGAGCACCAGAGGUUGAUCCAAGAACACAAAGGUUGAAGAAACCAGCACCACCAGCAAAACCCGGUUCAGCCCCGGUCCUACCAAUCUACGAUGCAAUGGCACCCGGCCCAUCUCUUGCCCCGGCUCCAGCUCCUGGUCCAGGUGGACCUCAUCACCAUUUCAAUGGAGAAAGACAAGUUAAAGAUUUCAUUGAAACCCUUCUUUUGUAUGGAGGAUACAAUGAAAUGGCUGAUAUUCUUGUGAAUUUAACAUCAUUAGCAACAGAAAUGGGAAGAUUAGUAUCUGAAGGUUAUGUGCUAACAGUUUUAGCCCCAAAUGAUGAAGCAAUGGCUAAGCUCACAACAGACCAAUUGAGUGAGCCAGGAGCACCGGAGCAGAUAAUCUAUUACCAUGUGAUACCCGAGUAUCAAACUGAAGAAAGCAUGUACAAUGCUGUUAGAAGAUUUGGGAAGAUUUCUUAUGAUACAUUAAGAUUGCCACACAAAGUUUUGGCACAAGAAGCUGAUGGGUCAGUGAAAUUUGGACAUGCUGAGAAUUCUGCUUAUUUGUUUGAUCCUGAUAUUUACACAGAUGGAAGAAUCUCUGUUCAAGGGAUUGAUGGGGUUCUGUUUCCAUUAGAGGAGAAGGAGAAAUCGGAUACCAAGACGGAAAUGAAGAGUGUUAAGGUUGCUGCUAAGCCGCAAAGGAGAGGGAAGUUGCUUGAAGUGGCUUGCAGGAUGCUCGGGACAUUUGGGCAAGAUUCACAUUUCACCACAUGCCAGUAAAUAAAGACUUCCUUGUAUGAAAAGGAAUACUUCAAAGAAGGAUAAAGGUGAAAUUCUUCGGUGAGCUGCUGAGAUCAUGUAAAGUCCUUGUAUCUGAUUUUUCUUCUCUACAAAUAGGUUCUAGUUUUUCACAUGGGAAGCCGACAACCAAAGGUGAAAAGGGAUUAUGGUGUGAUGAUGUUCUUAUUGUUUUUGUGUUACUCAAGUUCCAUGAUUGCACUGGAAGAAAAGGGUCAUUGUCCUUAGUUUUAGAGGCCCUUUGAACAGCACAAGAUAUUCUUCUCCCUUUUUUUUUUUAAUUUUUUUGUCCUUUUUGUGUGCCAAGUAUGGUGGUGGUGAGCUGUCUGGUGGUGGUUGGUGGAGAGGGGAAAACUAUGGAGGAGGUGAGGAGUAAGUAUUCCAUGUGGGCUUCCCACUACAAUAAAAGAAGUUAGGCGGAAAUAUGUGGGAAUAAUAAAAUAAAAGUAUUCUUUUGUGUUCAUGCACAAUUAGAGAAAGGAAAAUUGUAAUUAAUUUUUUGUGCAA